RNAcentral lists this ribosomal RNA (499 nucleotides) under uncultured Glomeromycotina. RNAcentral's name for it is "partial small subunit ribosomal RNA". It matches the Rfam family "Eukaryotic small subunit ribosomal RNA", at positions 591 to 1092 of the family's 1831-position model. Lineage: Eukaryota; Fungi; Glomeromycota. The record is from RNAcentral.
CCAAUAGCGUAUAUUAAAGUUGUUGCAGUUAAAAAGCUCGUAGUUGAAUUUCGGGGUCGGUAGGUUGGUCAUGCCAUCGGUAUGCACUGGUCUCACCGAUUCCUCCCUCUUGUAGAAGCGUAAUGCCAUUAAGUUGGUGUUGCGGGGAAACAGGACUGUUACUUUGAAAAAAUUAGAGUGUUUAAAGCAGGCUAACGCUUGAAUACAUUAGCAUGGAAUAAUGAAAUAGGACGUCGAUCCUAUUUUGUUGGUUUCUAGGGUUGACGUAAUGAUUAAUAGUGAUAGUUGGGGGCAUUAGUAUUCAAUUGUCAGAGGUGAAAUUCUUGGAUUUAUUGAAGACUAACUACUGCGAAAGCAUUUGCCAAGGAUGUUUUCAUUAAUCAAGAACGAAAGUUAGGGGAUCGAAGACGAUCAGAUACCGUCGUAGUCUUAACCAUAAACUAUGCCGACUAGGGAUCGGAUGAUGUUAAUUUUUUAAUGACUCAUUCGGCGCCUUACG